This 375-nucleotide unclassified non-coding RNA is filed under the name uncultured Gammaproteobacteria bacterium. RNAcentral's name for it is "contains 16S-23S intergenic spacer region". Lineage: Bacteria; Pseudomonadati; Pseudomonadota; Gammaproteobacteria. The record is from RNAcentral.
UCCGGUUCAUCACCGGCAGUCUCCUUAGAGUCCCCAACUAAAUGCUGGUAACUAAGGACAAGGGUUGCGCUCGUUACGGGACUUAACCCAACAUCUCACAACACGAGCUGACGACAGCCAUGCAGCACCUGUCUCUGCGUUCCUUUCGGCACUCCAGCUGCUAAGCCAGAUUCGCAGGAUGUCAAGGGUAGGUAAGGUUCUUCGCGUUGCAUCGAAUUAAACCACAUGCUCCACCGCUUGUGCGGGCCCCCGUCAAUUCAUUUGAGUUUCAACCUUGCGGCCGUACUUCCCAGGCGGAGUACUUAUCGUGUUAACUUCAAGACUGAUAGGUUCCCCUACCAACCUUUAGUACUCAUCGUUUACAGCGUGGACUAC